CUCCCGCCCACCCCCCGCUCUCUCGUCCUCGUCCUCGCCGUCGCCGUCGCCGCGACGAACCCCCAAUCCUCUAGCCUUCCUAAUCGGACAAGUAGAAGCUUUGAGUCGACCGAAUCGAAGUGUUUGUACUUCAUGCUUCUUGAUCGCAUCCAGGUUCUUUUCCUCUUCGUUAGCCUAAUGCUGCUAUCGUCAUGGGCUUAGACCCAGGUUGUUCUUCAAGUCCACACCGGCAGGAUCCUUUCUUCUUAUUUUUCUGGACUAAGCUUGUAGUUUUUACUAAAGUAUGGAAACUGAUACGGUCAUUGAAGGAGAAAUCAUUCAGGCCAAAGAACUUGUUGUUGAGGAUGAUAUUGUUGAGGGGAAUAAUGAUAAGGUUGAACUUGAUGGUCAAUUACCGUUAGUGGCUGGAGGAGAUGAUGGCAUACCUCAUGUUGGGAUGGUGUUCAGCUCCUACGGGGAAGCUGUCACUUUCUAUAAACGAUAUGCAAUGCGGACAGGAUUUGGUGUUACUAUAAAAAAGUCAUCUUUUACAACUUAUGGACUUUGCCGACGGCUUGUACUUGUGUGCAGCAAAGAGGGCAAGGCACAAACGAAAGCAUGCUACCACCAAUCUAGGCCAUCAACGAAGACAAAUUGUGAAGCUGUGUUUAUAGCCAAGUUAUGGGGCGAUGGCUUGUUGCAUGUAGUUGAAGCUAAACUUGAACACAACCAUGAACUUAAUCCGUCAGAGGCUCACCUCUAUAGAUGCUAUAAGAAUAUGUCCAGUGGAGCAACUAAAGAUCUUGCUGUCCGAGCGGCAGGACGUGAGCACUUACCAUACGUUGGCAUGGAAUUUUUAAAUUCUAUCGAUGAUGGGCAAAUGAAGCUUGUGGAAGGUGACAAGGAUGCCAUCUCUCAGUUUUUUGCACGAAUGCAGAUCAAAUAUCCAAAUUUCUUUUACAUGAUGGAUCUUGACAUGGAAGGUCAAUUAAGGAAUGUGUUUUGGGCUGAUUCUAGGUCAAGAUCAGCAUAUCAUUGUUUUGGUGAUGUUAUUUACUUUGAUUCAACAUAUUUAAAAGACGAAUACAAGAUUCCUCUUGUUCUAUUUAUUGGAUCAAACAAUCACGGUCAACAGGUGUUAUUAGGCUCUGGUUUGCUUGCAGAUGAAACACCUAGAAACUACUUGUGGUUAUUUAAGGCCUGGCUGACAUGUAUGUUGGAGCACCCUCCAAAUGCUAUCAUCACUGAUCAAUCUAAAACUAUUCAAAAUGUGAUUGCUAAAAUAUUACCAGAUGUCCGCCAUCGCAUUUGUCUCUUUCAUAUAAGUAGAAGUAUUCCUGAGAAGUUAAGGGAACACACAGAAUGGAAGACAAUUCAUAAGGCCAUGACCGAUGUAAUAUACAGUUCGUUAAAAGUUGACGAGUUUGAAGAAGGCUGGAGAAACCUGACUAAAACAUAUGGACUUGAGGCUAAUGAAUGGUUGAACUCCUUAUAUGAAAAUCGGAAACUAUGGGCACCUGUUUAUAUGAAGGAUAUGUUUUGGGCGGGGUUGUCCACUACACUCGAUGAAAAGGGUGUAAGUCCUUUUUUUGAAGGGUUCAUUUAUCCUGAAACUUCUUUGCAGCAAUUUUUAGAAAACUAUGACAUGUUUCUGCGAACGAAAUAUGAGUUGGAAGCAAAAGCAGAUUUUGAUUCAUUCCACAAGAGUCACAUUACAGUAUCAGAUUCUCCUAUGGAACAACAGCUUUCUGAAAUAUAUACACUUAGCAUGUUUGAAACUUUUCAGAAUGAAUUAAAGGCAACUCUUUAUUGUCAGGUUUCACUUGUAAAGGUAGAUGGCUCUAUAACUACAUUUGAAGUACGGGAAUGCUCCUACACUGGAAGUGUCGAAAGAGACCAUGACAAGUAUUAUGAGGUGCUGUAUCAUGUUGAUGAAUUUCAGGUGCAAUGUAUAUGCGGCUUCUUCCAGUCCACAGGGAUCUUAUGCAGACAUGCAUUGUCAGUUCUAAAUCUGCAACAAGUGUACGAGGUUCCACCUCAAUACAUCCUUAGUCGUUGGAGAAAGGAUUUCAAACUUUUGAAUGCUUUGGAGCGUUCCUCAAAAGAUUUUUAUGGCAAUAGAUCAGUUGAGCAGUAUGAUUCUCUCUCUUUGUGUUGCCUUCAACUUGUUGAAGCUGGUAUGGUGUCCGAUGAGAAGUACCAACUUGCUUUGAAGUUAAUUAAAGAAGUGGAAAGAUCUCUGUUAGAUGAUAACAUAUUUCAGGAUUUGCACAGUAGGCUUGUGUCUUCUGUUACUAGGUUGACUGGAAGUGAUGAGAAUCAUGCAGCAUCACAGGCUGGCAUCAUUGAUGGUGACAAAUCUUCUAAUUCUGUUUCUGCUAAGCGAAGAGGACGCCCUCCCAAGAAAAGGAAGGAAUAUGAGGUGGAACUAGUUAAUGACUCAAAUGGCAAAAAGGACCCUUUGAGAACAUCAACUGAGGGGCACCAGAGCAAUUUGUUUCAAUCUUCAUCAACAGCUGCCCAAUUCAGCACUCAUGAUAGGGCACAUGGAAUGAUUGAUAUAAUGGAAGAAGUUAGCCAAAAUGACUUGGGAUUUGGUGCCCAUUAUGGACUACAAACAAACCGUCAGCAUCCUCUUGGCAAUCAGCUGCAGUCUGGUCCUACAUUGCAGAAUCAUUUUGGACAGCAAAAUCUUGGAGAUCCAUCGAGAAUGCAUUGGCAUAUCCAACAAAUGUUGCAGGUUAUAAAAAUUGAGAAACAUGUCUUAUUAGUAUUCUUUUCUUUGUAUGAUUUUGAUUAGUUAUAUCAGAAAUCUCCUGGAAAAUGAUUUGUUUCUUUACACAACCUACAUGCAGGAAAACCAAACACCAUUUGGUAGGAGGACCGGGUAGCGAGGCCAUUACUUUCCUCAGAUUAACCUCAGCAUCGCAAGCAGUUCUUCGACGAGGAACGUUGGCUUCUGUAUUGUCGAUGAUAUUUUUACAGAUCGAAACUGUCGGUACGGAUUGCAUGAUGUCAAGACAAAGUGCAGUCUGAUGAUGUUACUCGAGUAGAUUCGUGUACUCAAUGGAGAUCAUGAUGUCAUGUGGCCGAUCAAUUUUUUAAUGUAUAUAUAGGUUCAUUGUAUAAUCUGUUGGAAGCAUUCUUUUUUUUCUUUUUGCUUUGAUCGUUUUUCCCUUGCAUGGAAUCUGGUCGGAUAGGCUCCUGGGCUGGAUCAAUUGAUAAGAACAUGACUGUGGGAUAAUGACGGUAGUGGUCGGGGUUGAAACUUAGCAAGAUAUUUUAUCACCUCUUCAGAUUUUUGUUUAUAUACUUGGCGAUUUAGAUUCCUGUUGAA
Zingiber officinale is the source of this 3316-nucleotide RNA transcript. It is a transcript of the gene named protein FAR1-RELATED SEQUENCE 6-like, with no coding region annotated. The record is from RefSeq and is a predicted model, not a curated record. Lineage: Eukaryota; Viridiplantae; Streptophyta; Magnoliopsida; Zingiberales; Zingiberaceae. The transcript has 6 exons.